This 305-nucleotide ribosomal RNA is filed under the name uncultured bacterium. Its description in RNAcentral is "bacterial SSU rRNA". It matches the Rfam family "Bacterial small subunit ribosomal RNA", at positions 333 to 652 of the family's 1533-position model. The record is from RNAcentral.
CUUCUCCUACGGCAGGCAGCAGUGGGGAAUAUUGGGCAAUGGGGGAAACCCUGACCCAGCAACGCCGCGUGAGGGAAGAAGGCUUUCGGGUUGUAAACCUCUGUCCUUGGGGACGAAGUAAGUGACGGUACCCAAGGAGGAAGCUCCGGCUAACUACGUGCCAGCAGCCGCGGUAAUACGUAGGGAGCAAGCGUUGUUCGGAAUUACUGGGCGUAAAGGGUGCGUAGGCGGCCUGGUAAGUCAGAUGUGAAAUACCCGUGCUUAACAUGGGGGGUGCAUCUGAUACUGUCAGGCUUGAGUGCAGG